GCCCGGUUGGUGUAGUGGAAAGCACACUCAGAACACAUUGCUUGCUUUUCUGUUCUUGGUUCCGGUCCUUAUACAGUUCCAAUUCUUACAGUUUCAACAUUUCUUUCCAAUCUGAGAGACCUUGGUUCAAUUCCAAGACCGGGCG
Nemania sp. FL0031 is the source of this 145-nucleotide non-coding RNA. NCBI's taxonomy places the organism in Eukaryota, Fungi, Ascomycota, Sordariomycetes, Xylariales, Xylariaceae. The record is from the annotation of a GenBank genome assembly.